RNAcentral lists this ribosomal RNA (2916 nucleotides) under Microbulbifer rhizosphaerae. RNAcentral describes it as "Bacterial large subunit ribosomal RNA". It matches the Rfam family "Bacterial large subunit ribosomal RNA". The record is from Rfam by way of RNAcentral. Lineage: Bacteria; Pseudomonadati; Pseudomonadota; Gammaproteobacteria; Cellvibrionales; Microbulbiferaceae.
GGUCAAGCGACUAAGCGUAUACGGUGGAUGCCUUGGCAGCUGGAGGCGAUGAAGGACGUAGGAGCCUGCGAAAAGUCUAGGGGAGCUGGCACACAAGCUUUGAUCCUGGAAUGUCCGAAUGGGGAAACCCACCCGCUUGCGGGUAUCCAUGACUGAAUUCAUAGGUCAUGGAGGCGAACCCGGGGAACUGAAACAUCUAAGUACCCGGAGGAAAAGAAAUCAACCGAGAUUCCCUGAGUAGCGGCGAGCGAAAGGGGAUUAGCCCUUAAGCCUAUUAUGUUUUAGUGGAAGGUUCUGGAAAGUACCGCGAUACAGGGUGAUAGCCCCGUACACGAAAAGGCAUUUUAGGUGAAAUCGAGUAGGUCGGGACACGUGUUAUCUUGACUGAACAUGGGGGGACCAUCCUCCAAGGCUAAAUACUCCCAGCUGACCGAUAGUGAACCAGUACCGUGAGGGAAAGGCGAAAAGAACCCCGGAGAGGGGAGUGAAAUAGAACCUGAAACCGUAUACGUACAAGCAGUAGGAGCCCUACGGGGUGACUGCGUACCUUUUGUAUAAUGGGUCAGCGACUUAUUGUCUGUAGCAAGGUUAACCGCAUAGGGGAGCCGUAGAGAAAUCGAGUCUUAAUAGGGCGUUCAGUUGCAGGCAAUAGACCCGAAACCCGGCGAUCUAUCCAUGGGCAGGUUGAAGAUUGAGUAACAUCAAUUGGAGGACCGAACCCACUAACGUUGAAAAGUUAGGGGAUGACCUGUGGAUCGGAGUGAAAGGCUAAUCAAGCCGGGAGAUAGCUGGUUCUCCUCGAAAGCUAUUUAGGUAGCGCCUCGCGUCUCACCCUCGGGGGUAGAGCACUGUUUGGGCUAGGGGGUCAUCCCGACUUACCAACCCCAUGCAAACUCCGAAUACCGAGGAGUGCAAUCGCGGGAGACACACGGCGGGUGCUAACGUCCGUCGUGGAAAGGGAAACAACCCAGACCGCCAGCUAAGGUCCCAAAUACCAGUUAAGUGGGAAACGAUGUGGGAAGGCCCAGACAGCUAGGAAGUUGGCUUAGAAGCAGCCAUCUUUUAAAGAAAGCGUAAUAGCUCACUAGUCGAGUCGGCCCGCGCGGAAGAUAUACCGGGGCUCAAACUGGUAACCGAAGCUGCGGGNNNNNNNNNNNNNNNNNNNNNNNNNNNNNNNNNNNNNNNNNNNNNNNNNNNNNNNNNNNNNNNNNNNNNNNNNNNNNNNNNNNNNNNNNNNNNNNNNACGGUAGAGGAGCGUUCUGUAAGCCGUUGAAGGUGGAUCGAGAGGUCUGCUGGAGGUAUCAGAAGUGCGAAUGCUGACAUGAGUAACGACAAGGGAGGUGAAAAACCUCCCCGCCGGAAGACCAAGGGUUCCUGUCCAACGCUAAUCGGGACAGGGUUAGUCGGCCCCUAAGGCGAGGGCGAAAGCCGUAGUCGAUGGGAAACAGGUUAACAUUCCUGUACUCGCUAUUGCUGCGAUGGAGUGACGGAGAAGGCUAGGCCAGCACGGCGAUUGGUUGUCCGUGUUUAAGGUAGUAGGCUGGGGGUUUAGGCAAAUCCGGACCCCUAAGGCUGAGAACUGACGACGAAGCUUACUUCGGUAAGUGAAGUGGUUGAUGCCCUGCUUCCAGGAAAAACUUCUAAGCUUCAGGCAAUAGAGAACCGUACUCGAAACCGACACAGGUGGUCAGGUAGAGAAUACCAAGGCGCUUGAGAGAACUCUGGUGAAGGAACUAGGCAAAAUGGUACCGUAACUUCGGGAGAAGGUACGCCGGUUUUGGUGAUGGGACUUGCUCCCUAAGCUGAGGCCGGUCGAAGUGACCAGGUGGCUGCGACUGUUUAUUAAAAACAUAGCACUCUGCAAACACGUAAGUGGACGUAUAGGGUGUGACGCCUGCCCGGUGCCGGAAGGUUAAUUGAUGGGGUUAGCUUCGGCGAAGCUCUUGAUCGAAGCCCCGGUAAACGGCGGCCGUAACUAUAACGGUCCUAAGGUAGCGAAAUUCCUUGUCGGGUAAGUUCCGACCUGCACGAAUGGCGUAACGAUGGCCACGCUGUCUCCACCAGAGACUCAGUGAAAUUGAAAUCGCUGUUAAGAUGCAGUGUACCCGCGGCUAGACGGAAAGACCCCGUGAACCUUUACUACAGCUUUGCACUGAACUUUGAGCCUGCUUGUGUAGGAUAGGUGGGAGGCUUUGAAGCGAGGACGCCAGUUCUCGUGGAGCCAUCCUUGAAAUACCACCCUGGCAUGUUUGAGGUUCUAACCCAGGUCCCUUAUCGGGAUCGGGGACAGUGUAUGGUGGGUAGUUUGACUGGGGCGGUCUCCUCCCAAAGAGUAACGGAGGAGUACGAAGGUGCACUCAGCAUGGUCGGAAAUCAUGCAAUGAGCAUAAUGGUAUAAGUGCGCUUGACUGCGAGACAGACAUGUCGAGCAGGUACGAAAGUAGGUCAUAGUGAUCCGGUGGUUCUGUAUGGAAGGGCCAUCGCUCAACGGAUAAAAGGUACUCCGGGGAUAACAGGCUGAUACCGCCCAAGAGUUCACAUCGACGGCGGUGUUUGGCACCUCGAUGUCGGCUCAUCACAUCCUGGGGCUGAAGCCGGUCCCAAGGGUAUGGCUGUUCGCCAUUUAAAGUGGUACGCGAGCUGGGUUUAGAACGUCGUGAGACAGUUCGGUCCCUAUCUGCCGUGGGCGUUGGAGAUUUGAGAAGAGUUGCUCCUAGUACGAGAGGACCGGAGUGAACGAACCUCUGGUGUUCGGGUUGUCACGCCAGUGGCAUUGCCCGGUAGCUAUGUUCGGACGGGAUAACCGCUGAAAGCAUCUAAGCGGGAAGCCUCCUUCAAGAUGAGAUCUCCCUGGGACUUCGAGUCCCCUGAAGGGCCCUGGAAGACUACCAGGUUGAUAGGCUGGGUGUGGAAGCG